GAUGAAGAACGUAGUGAAAUGCGAUAAGUAAUGUGAAUUGCAGAAUUCAGUGAAUCAUCGAAUCUUUGAACGCACAUUGCGCCCUCUGGUAUUCUGGAGGGCAUGCCUGUUCGAGCGUCAUUAUAACCACUCAAGCUCUCGCUUGGUAUUGGGGUUCGCGGUUCCGCGGCCCCUAAAAUCAGUGGCGGUGCCUGUCGGCUCUACGCGUAGUAAUACUCCUCGCGAUUGAGUCCGGUAGGUCUACUUGCCAGCAACCCCCAAUUUUUACAGGUUGACCUCGGAUCAGGUAGGGAUACCCGCUGAACUUAAGCAUAUCAAUAAGCGGAGGA
Molecule: unclassified non-coding RNA, 329 nt
Filed under: soil metagenome
Description: partial contains 5.8S ribosomal RNA, internal transcribed spacer 2, and large subunit ribosomal RNA
Rfam family: 5.8S ribosomal RNA (bases 1-120)
Source: RNAcentral